This 440-nucleotide ribosomal RNA is filed under the name uncultured bacterium. RNAcentral describes it as "partial 16S ribosomal RNA". It matches the Rfam family "Bacterial small subunit ribosomal RNA", at positions 338 to 795 of the family's 1533-position model. The record is from RNAcentral.
CCUACGGGUGGCAGCAGUAGGGAAUAUUGCUCAAUGGGGGAAACCCUGAUGCAGCAACGCCGCGUGGAUGAUGAAGGUUUUCGGUUUGUAAACUCCUUUUGUUAGAGAAGAUAAUGACGGUAUCUAACGAAUAAGCCCCGGCUAACUCCGUGCCAGCAGCCGCGGUAAUACGGAGGGUGCAAGCGUUAUUCGGAAUCACUGGGCGUAAAGAGCGCGUAGGCGGGAUAGCAAGUCAGAUGUGAAAGCCUAUGGCUUAACCAUAGAACUGCAUUUGAAACUGUGAUACUAGAGUAGGGGAGAGGUAAGUGGAAUUCGUGGUGUAGGGGUAAAAUCCGUAGAGAUCAAGAGGAAUACUCGUGGCGAAGGCGACCUGCUAGAACAUAACUGACGCUGAUGCGCGAAAGCGUGGGGAGCAAACAGGAUUGGAUACCCCUGUAGUC